GGGGGUGUUUGGGAUUCCUAUUAAAAGUGACUUUUUGGAGCAAAAAGGACUUCUGAGAAAAGAAGGAACCCCAAACAUCAUCUGAGAAGUUCUUCUGAAGCAAAAGGAAUCCCAAACAUAAUGAAAAUAAGGACUUUCAGAGUUAAUUUUGUCUUCAAAAAAGAGUUUUUGAGAAGUUUGGAUUUCUUACUUCUGGAUCUUGAGAAGGACUUUUGAGAAGGAGAAGUUAAAAAGGAAUCCCAAACACCCCCAUAGAGAAAACAAUACCCACAAACACAACUCUGAUUUCUCUCUUCCUCAUCUCUCUUCCUUAUCUCUCCCUCAACCACACCAGUACCGCCACCGCCACCACCGUCACCAUCGCACCACCACCAUCUGUUCCCGUGCUCUGUGCUACUAUUUAAUUCAUACAUAGAUUCAUUCCCAAAAUGGCAACUUUAUAACCAGCCCAACUCGAUUUGGAAGCUAAAGACCACUCCCGCCGUCAUUCCACCGCGGCCAACAUUGAGAUUGUAGGGGCGGUGGUAUCUGAUGAGGAGGAGAAAGGGAGGGAAUCCACGGUGUUAGAUUUCUCGAUUGUGGAUCUAGAAAGUGGUGGUGGUGCGGCCCACAAUGAUAGGGUACAUUGGUCAAAGAUUGAAGGGGAUUGUAGGAUUUGUCAUUUGAGUAUUGAUUUAACCAAUCAAGAUUCUAAGAAUGGGAGUCCUAUUGAGUUGGGUUGUUCUUGUAAAGAUGAUUUAGCUGCUGCUCAUAAACAUUGUGCUGAAGCUUGGUUCAAGAUUAAGGGUAAUAAUCAACGUCCAUAUGUUUAGGGCGGUGACUGGUGGUUGACGGUCAACAGAAGAUGGUGAUAGUUAUGGAGGUGCGGUGGGAAUGGUGGUGGUGCGGUGGUGUUAAUGGUGGUGGUAGGGGUAGAGAGAAAGAGAGAAGGGAUGGACAGUUGUGUGAAAUGUCUAUGUGUGUAUAACAAUAUAUAUAAUAUUAAAAUAUUUAUGCAUUAAAGACUUGUUUCUUAUACUUUUGUGCAUAUAAGACUUGUACUUUGUGUGUAAAUGACCAAAUUACCCUU
This 1069-nucleotide long non-coding RNA is filed under the name Helianthus annuus (common sunflower). Its description in RNAcentral is "hypothetical non coding rna". The record is from RNAcentral. Lineage: Eukaryota; Viridiplantae; Streptophyta; Magnoliopsida; Asterales; Asteraceae.